This 740-nucleotide ribosomal RNA is filed under the name Flavihumibacter cheonanensis. RNAcentral's name for it is "bacterial SSU rRNA". It matches the Rfam family "Bacterial small subunit ribosomal RNA", at positions 68 to 804 of the family's 1533-position model. The record is from RNAcentral. Lineage: Bacteria; Pseudomonadati; Bacteroidota; Chitinophagia; Chitinophagales; Chitinophagaceae.
AGCACAGGGUAGCAAUACCUGGGUGGCGACCGGCAAACGGGUGCGGAACACGUACAGAACCUUCCUUCGAGCGGGGAAUAGCCCAGAGAAAUUUGGAUUAAUACCCCAUAGCAUAACGGAGUGGCAUCACUUUGUUAUUAAAGAUUUAUCACUUGAAGAUGGCUGUGCGUAUGAUUAGGUAGUUGGCGGGGUAACGGCCCACCAAGCCUGCGAUCAUUAACUGGUGUGAGAGCACGACCAGUCACACGGGCACUGAGACACGGGCCCGACUCCUACGGGAGGCAGCAGUAAGGAAUAUUGGUCAAUGGACGCAAGUCUGAACCAGCCAUGCCGCGUGGAGGAUGAAGGUCCUCUGGAUUGUAAACUUCUUUUAUCUGGGACGAAAAAAGGGAAUUCUUUCUCGUCUGACGGUACCAGAUGAAUAAGCACCGGCUAACUCCGUGCCAGCAGCCGCGGUAAUACGGAGGGUGCAAGCGUUAUCCGGAUUCACUGGGUUUAAAGGGUGCGUAGGCGGGUAUGUAAGUCCGUGGUGAAAUCUCCGAGCUUAACUCGGAAACUGCCAUGGGUACUGUGUAUCUUGAAUGUUGUGGAGGUGAGCGGAAUAUGUCAUGUAGCGGUGAAAUGCUUAGAUAUGACAUAGAACACCAAUUGCGAAGGCAGCUCACUACACAAAUAUUGACGCUGAGGCACGAAAGCGUGGGGAUCAAACAGGAUUAGAUACCCUGGUAGUCCACGCCCUA